UGGGCGCAAGCCUGAUCCAGCAAUGCCGCGUGAGUGAUGAAGGCCCUAGGGUUGUAAAGCUCUUUUACCCGGGAAGAUAAUGACUGUACCGGGAGAAUAAGCCCCGGCUAACUCCGUGCCAGCACCGCGGUAAUAAGGGCG
Molecule: ribosomal RNA, 141 nt
Filed under: uncultured Sphingomonadales bacterium
Lineage: Bacteria; Pseudomonadati; Pseudomonadota; Alphaproteobacteria; Sphingomonadales
Description: partial 16S ribosomal RNA
Rfam family: Bacterial small subunit ribosomal RNA
Source: RNAcentral